UGUCCAACACAUUUGGCUUGUGAUGUUGCUGCCGAACAAUGUUAUGAUCCAUGCAUUGUAAGCAAUCCUUGUGGUCGGAACACCAAAUGCAGUGUCAUUGAUCAUAGUCCUCAGUGUGAAUGUAUACCUGGAUUCAGAGGAAAUCCUCUAGAAUACUGUUAUCCAAUCGGUCCUGGAUGUCAGAAUGAUUUAAGUUGCCCUGGAAACUUAUUCUGUUUGAAUGAUGGAACAUGUGGUUGUCCAGGCGAUUUCAAACGUUUAUCAGAUUUCUGCAUUA
Molecule: non-coding RNA, 277 nt
Organism: Parasteatoda tepidariorum (common house spider)
Lineage: Eukaryota; Metazoa; Arthropoda; Arachnida; Araneae; Theridiidae
Source: RefSeq, a predicted model, not a curated record